GAUGAACGCUGGCGGCGUGCCUAAUACAUGCAAGUCGAGCGAACAGACGAGGAGCUUGCUCCUCUGACGUUAGCGGCGGACGGGUGAGUAACACGUGGAUAACCUACCUAUAUGACUGGGAUAACUUCGGGAAACCGGAGCUAAUACCGGAUCAUAUAUUGAACCGCAUGGUUCAAUAGUGAAAGACGGUUUUGCUGUCACUUAUAGAUGGAUCCGCGCCGCAUUAGCUAGUUGGUAAGGUAACGGCUUACCAAGGCAACGAUGCGUAGCCGACCUGAGAGGGUGAUCGGCCACACUGGAACUGAGACACGGUCCAGACUCCUACGGGAGGCAGCAGUAGGGAAUCUUCCGCAAUGGGCGAAAGCUUGACGGAGCAACGCCGCGUGAGUGAUGAAGGUCUUCGGAUCGUAAAACUCUGUUAUUAGGGAAGAACAAAUGUGUAAGUAACUAUGCACGUCUUGACGGUACCUAAUCAGAAAGCCACGGCUAACUACGUG
Molecule: ribosomal RNA, 497 nt
Filed under: uncultured bacterium
Lineage: Bacteria
Description: partial 16S ribosomal RNA
Rfam family: Bacterial small subunit ribosomal RNA
Source: RNAcentral